ACACGGUGGAUGCCCUGGCAGUCAGAGGCGAUGAAGGACGUGCUAAUCUGCGAUAAGCGUCGGUGAGGUGAUAUGAACCGUUAUAACCGGCGAUUUCCGAAUGGGGAAACCCAGUGUGUUUCGACACACUAUCAUUAACUGAAUCCAUAGGUUAAUGAGGCGAACCGGGGGAACUGAAACAUCUAAGUACCCCGAGGAAAAGAAAUCAACCGAGAUUCCCCCAGUAGCGGCGAGCGAACGGGGAGGAGCCCAGAGCCUGAAUCAGUGUGUGUGUUAGUGGAAGCGUCUGGAAAGGCGCGCGAUACAGGGUGACAGCCCCGUACACAAAAAUGCACAUAUUGUGAGCUCGAUGAGUAGGGCGGGACACGUGGUAUCCUGUCUGAAUAUGGGGGGACCAUCCUCCAAGGCUAAAUACUCCUGACUGACCGAUAGUGAACCAGUACCGUGAGGGAAAGGCGAAAAGAACCCCGGCGAGGGGAGUGAAAAAGAACCUGAAACCGUGUACGUACAAGCAGUGGGAGCCUCUUUAUGGGGUGACUGCGUACCUUUUGUAUAAUGGGUCAGCGACUUAUAUUCUGUAGCAAGGUUAACCGAAUAGGGGAGCCGAAGGGAAACCGAGUCUUAACUGGGCGUUAAGUUGCAGGGUAUAGACCCGAAACCCGGUGAUCUAGCCAUGGGCAGGUUGAAGGUUGGGUAACACUAACUGGAGGACCGAACCGACUAAUGUUGAAAAAUUAGCGGAUGACUUGUGGCUGGGGGUGAAAGGCCAAUCAAACCGGGAGAUAGCUGGUUCUCCCCGAAAGCUAUUUAGGUAGCGCCUCGUGAAUUCAUCUCCGGGGGUAGAGCACUGUUUCGGCAAGGGGGUCAUCCCGACUUACCAACCCGAUGCAAACUGCGAAUACCGGAGAAUGUUAUCACGGGAGACACACGGCGGGUGCUAACGUCCGUCGUGAAGAGGGAAACAACCCAGACCGCCAGCUAAGGUCCCAAAGUCAUGGUUAAGUGGGAAACGAUGUGGGAAGGCCCAGACAGCCAGGAUGUUGGCUUAGAAGCAGCCAUCAUUUAAAGAAAGCGUAAUAGCUCACUGGUCGAGUCGGCCUGCGCGGAAGAUGUAACGGGGCUAAACCAUGCACCGAAGCUGCGGCAGCGACACUAUGUGUUGUUGGGUAGGGGAGCGUUCUGUAAGCCUGUGAAGGUGGCCUGUGAGGGUUGCUGGAGGUAUCAGAAGUGCGAAUGCUGACAUAAGUAACGAUAAAGCGGGUGAAAAGCCCGCUCGCCGGAAGACCAAGGGUUCCUGUCCAACGUUAAUCGGGGCAGGGUGAGUCGACCCCUAAGGCGAGGCCGAAAGGCGUAGUCGAUGGGAAACAGGUUAAUAUUCCUGUACUUGGUGUUACUGCGAAGGGGGGACGGAGAAGGCUAUGUUGGCCGGGCGACGGUUGUCCCGGUUUAAGCGUGUAGGCUGGUUUUCCAGGCAAAUCCGGAAAACCAAGGCUGAGGCGUGAUGACGAGGCACUACGGUGCUGAAGCGACAAAUGCCCUGCUUCCAGGAAAAGCCUCUAAGCAUCAGGUAACAUCAAAUCGUACCCCAAACCGACACAGGUGGUCAGGUAGAGAAUACCAAGGCGCUUGAGAGAACUCGGGUGAAGGAACUAGGCAAAAUGGUGCCGUAACUUCGGGAGAAGGCACGCUGAUAUGUAGGUGAAGCGACUUGCUCGUGGAGCUGAAAUCAGUCGAAGAUACCAGCUGGCUGCAACUGUUUAUUAAAAACACAGCACUGUGCAAACACGAAAGUGGACGUAUACGGUGUGACGCCUGCCCGGUGCCGGAAGGUUAAUUGAUGGGGUUAGCGGUAACGCGAAGCUCUUGAUCGAAGCCCCGGUAAACGGCGGCCGUAACUAUAACGGUCCUAAGGUAGCGAAAUUCCUUGUCGGGUAAGUUCCGACCUGCACGAAUGGCGUAAUGAUGGCCAGGCUGUCUCCACCCGAGACUCAGUGAAAUUGAAUUCGCUGUGAAGAUGCAGUGUACCCGCGGCAAGACGGAAAGACCCCGUGAACCUUUACUAUAGCUUGACACUGAACAUUGAGCCUUGAUGUGUAGGAUAGGUGGGAGGCUUUGAAGUGUGGACGCCAGUCUGCAUGGAGCCGACCUUGAAAUACCACCCUUUAAUGUUUGAUGUUCUAACGUUGGCCCGUAAUCCGGGUUGCGGACAGUGUCUGGUGGGUAGUUUGACUGGGGCGGUCUCCUCCUAAAGAGUAACGGAGGAGCACGAAGGUUGGCUAAUCCUGGUCGGACAUCAGGAGGUUAGUGCAAUGGCAUAAGCCAGCUUGACUGCGAGCGUGACGGCGCGAGCAGGUGCGAAAGCAGGUCAUAGUGAUCCGGUGGUUCUGAAUGGAAGGGCCAUCGCUCAACGGAUAAAAGGUACUCCGGGGAUAACAGGCUGAUACCGCCCAAGAGUUCAUAUCGACGGCGGUGUUUGGCACCUCGAUGUCGGCUCAUCACAUCCUGGGGCUGAAGUAGGUCCCAAGGGUAUGGCUGUUCGCCAUUUAAAGUGGUACGCGAGCUGGGUUUAGAACGUCGUGAGACAGUUCGGUCCCUAUCUGCCGUGGGCGCUGGAGAACUGAGGGGGGCUGCUCCUAGUACGAGAGGACCGGAGUGGACGCAUCACUGGUGUUCGGGUUGUCAUGCCAAUGGCACUGCCCGGUAGCUAAAUGCGGAAGAGAUAAGUGCUGAAAGCAUCUAAGCACGAAACUUGCCCCGAGAUGAGUUCUCCCUGAGACUUAGAGUCUCCUGAAGGAACGUUGAAGACGACGACGUUGAUAGGCCGGGUGUGUAAGCGCAGCGAUGCGUUGAGCUAACCGGUACUAAUGAACCGUGAGGCUUAACCUUACAACGCCGAAG
Molecule: ribosomal RNA, 2898 nt
Filed under: Escherichia coli
Lineage: Bacteria; Pseudomonadati; Pseudomonadota; Gammaproteobacteria; Enterobacterales; Enterobacteriaceae
Description: bacterial LSU rRNA
Rfam family: Bacterial large subunit ribosomal RNA
Source: RNAcentral